This 481-nucleotide ribosomal RNA is filed under the name uncultured bacterium. RNAcentral describes it as "partial 16S ribosomal RNA". It matches the Rfam family "Bacterial small subunit ribosomal RNA", at positions 28 to 523 of the family's 1533-position model. The record is from RNAcentral.
GACGAACGCUGGCGGCGUGCUUAACACAUGCAAGUCGAGCGGAAAGGCCACUUCGGUGGUACUCGAGCGGCGAACGGGCGAGUAACCCGUGAGUAAUCUGCCCCUGGCUUUGGGAUAGCCACCGGAAACGGUGAUUAAUACCGGAUACGACCACCUCUCGCAUGGGAGGGCGGUGGAACGUUUUUUCGGCCAGGGAUGUGCUCGCGGCCUAUCAGCUUGAUGGUGAGGUAAUGGCUCGCCAUGGCUUCGACGGGUAGCCGGCCUGAGAGGGUGACCGGUCACACUGGGACUGAGACACGGCCCAGACUCCUACGGGAGGCAGCAGUGGGGAAUGUUGGACAAUGGGCAGAAGCCUGAUCCAGCAACGCCGCGUGAGGGAUGACGGCCUUCGGGUUGUAAACCUAUUUCAGCAGGGACGAAGCGCAAGUGACGGUACCUGCAGAAGAAGCACCGGCCAACUACGUGCCAGCCGCCGCCGUAA